This 1491-nucleotide small RNA is filed under the name Drosophila pseudoobscura pseudoobscura. RNAcentral's name for it is "GA30549". Lineage: Eukaryota; Metazoa; Arthropoda; Insecta; Diptera; Drosophilidae. The record is from RNAcentral.
UACGAGUCACAAUAAUACUUGAGUUUUCAUUCACACCACAAUCAAAGUGGCAUAUAAAUACACAGUUAUUCGUCCAAAUUCAAUAUGCACGGCUUAGUUCUUUUUGGCGUAGUUUGGCUGAUAUAUUAUGGCAUAUAUAAAUACAUUAUGACACAGAAUAUCAUGGUACCCAGAAGCAACGCUGCGGCUCAAGGUUUACAAAGAAACGUUUUUGAUGUCUAAAGCGAUUGUUGGUGACACCUUGGCAAGGCCUUUGGAAUUGUAUGGACUUCUUAUAGACUGAAAAUGUAGGCGAUUUUGUAAAUGCAUCAGAUUAUUGAAGUACUACUUGGACUUUUGCCUACUGUUGUGGUUGUGAUUUUACUCUUGGAACAGGAACAGAUUCCUGAUGUUCAUAGAGGGAUUUCAUAGAGGCUUGCGAAAUUCCACAUGUGACAAUUCAGCAUUCAAUAGAUGGAUGGCUGGAAUGACUGGGAUGGUUGGGAUGGCAUGGAGCUGGAGCUGGAGCUGGAGCUGGCUAAAAGCCUGUCAAUCGGCGAGAGGAAGCGCUGGGGACAAAUGCCCUAAGUAGAGACCCAAAUCUCUGGAAAGCAAUUAGCAAGGCAAAACCCAAAAGAAAGAUCACCGCAAGACCGCUGUUCGGGGCACCAAUUGCAAUUGCCCAGACGACGGACAGCAUAGCGACACAGAACCCAGAGGAAGACGGACAGAAGCGGGAUUUAUCAGAGACAGAGACUGAGUCUGAGUCUGAGUCUGAGUCCGAGAUGGAGCUGGAGCUGGGGUUUGAGUUGGAGAUGAAGAUGCAGAGACGCAGACGGAGAAAAGCAAUUCUGCGGCUGACGGUUUUCGCAGAAAAUUACAACUUGCGGGUAAACAAAGUCAACUGCCGGCAAUGGCCCAGACAUGGGGCAAGGGGCCGGGGCCGGGGCCGAAGCUAGGUCUGAGUGGAAUCCAGCAGAAAACGGUGGGGCGGUGGCGGUGGCGGUGGCUGUUCGGGCUGGAGGUUGAGAGCUCUAGAAGAAUUGGCGUUGAAGCCACACGCCAAAGUAAGCCCACAAGCCGUCUUUUGCUGCUGUUGCUGCUGAUGCUUCAACUCCCACUCCGCCUCCCAUGGCUGGUGCCGCCGGGCUCCAUGUGGAGUGGAUGUGGGUGCGCAAUUAUGCCGCCAGAGCAACCAAGUAACCAUAAAUUUUCUUAUCAGCGCCCAGCAAAAGUCCAGGAGCGGAUCUCAUCAGCAGAGGCCGAUCUCAAGGGCCCCAAAGUAGAAUCUCAUCAGUCGGUUGGCUGCUAAGAGAAGAGAGAGAAAGGGAGCGCAAGGCCAGACUCGGCAGCCAUGCUGUGAUACUGAAUUCCUAAAUAUAUAUAUGAUUUCUAAGUAUAUAGGAAAUCCUUGAAUUCUUCAGUAUCAUCAAUGAAAUAUCACUACUCUUAAAGAAUGUAAAGCUAGAUUAAGUUGCCACGAAAGGUAUCAGUAAACUUUUUUACAAUAAA